RNAcentral lists this ribosomal RNA (488 nucleotides) under uncultured bacterium. Its description in RNAcentral is "partial 16S ribosomal RNA". It matches the Rfam family "Bacterial small subunit ribosomal RNA", at positions 355 to 859 of the family's 1533-position model. The record is from RNAcentral.
UGGGGAAUAUUGCACAAUGGGCGAAAGCCUGAUGCAGCAACGCCGCGUGAGUGAUGAAGGUCUUCGGAUUGUAAAGCUCUGUCUUUUGGGACGAUAAUGACGGUACCAAAGGAGGAAGCCACGGCUAACUACGUGCCAGCAGCCGCGGUAAUACGUAGGUGGCGAGCGUUGUCCGGAUUUACUGGGCGUAAAGGGUGUGUAGGCGGAUGUUUAAGUGAGAUGUGAAAUACCCGGGCUUAACUUGGGUGCUGCAUUUCAAACUGGAUAUCUAGAGUGCAGGAGAGGAGAAUGGAAUUCCUAGUGUAGCGGUGAAAUGCGUAGAGAUUAGGAAGAACACCAGUGGCGAAGGCGAUUCUCUGGACUGUAACUGACGCUGAGGCACGAAAGCGUGGGUAGCAAACAGGAUUAGAUACCCUGGUAGUCCACGCCGUAAACGAUGAGUACUAGGUGUAGGAGGUAUCGACCCCUUCUGUGCCGCAGUAAACACA